This 326-nucleotide ribosomal RNA is filed under the name uncultured eukaryote. RNAcentral describes it as "partial 18S ribosomal RNA". It matches the Rfam family "Eukaryotic small subunit ribosomal RNA", at positions 1470 to 1796 of the family's 1831-position model. The record is from RNAcentral.
CCCUUAGAUGUUCUGGGCCGCACGCGCGCUACACUGAAUGGAUCAACGUGUUUUCCCUUCCCGAGAGGGACGGGUAACCCGCUGAACCCCAUUCGUGGUAGGGAUCGGAGCUUGCAAUUGUUCUCCGUGAACCAGGAAUUCCCAGUAAGCGCAAGUCAUAAGCUUGCGUUGAUUACGUCCCUGCCCUUUGUACACACCGCCCGUCGCUACUACCGAUUGAACGUUUUAGUGAGGUAUUUGGACUGGACCUUCGGAGGUUCGUGCCUCCGUUGCUGUUCGGGAAGACUCCCAAACUUGAGCGUUUAGAGGAAGUAAAAGUCGUAACA